RNAcentral lists this ribosomal RNA (497 nucleotides) under uncultured bacterium. RNAcentral's name for it is "partial 16S ribosomal RNA". It matches the Rfam family "Bacterial small subunit ribosomal RNA", at positions 28 to 507 of the family's 1533-position model. The record is from RNAcentral.
GAUGAACGCUGGCGGCGUGCCUAAUACAUGCAAGUCGAGCGAACAGACGAGGAGCUUGCUCCUCUGACGUUAGCGGCGGACGGGUGAGUAACACGUGGAUAACCUACCUAUAAGACUGGGAUAACUUCGGGAAACCGGAGCUAAUACCGGAUAAUAUAUUGAACCGCAUGGUUCAAUAGUGAAAGACGGUUUUGCUGUCACUUAUAGAUGGAUCCGCGCCGCAUUAGCUAGUUGGUAAGGUAACGGCUUACCAAGGCAACGAUGCGUAGCCGACCUGAGAGGGUGAUCGGCCACACUGGAACUGAGACACGGUCCAGACUCCUACGGGAGGCAGCAGUAGGGAAUCUUCCGCAAUGGGCGAAAGCCUGACGGAGCAACGCCGCGUGAGUGAUGAAGGUCUUCGGAUCGUAAAGCUCUGUUAUUAGGGAAGAACAAAUGUGUAAGUAACUAUACACGUCUUGACGGUACCUAAUCAGAAAGCCACGGCUAACUACGUG